GAGGGCAAGUCUGGUGCCAGCAGCCGCGGUAAUUCCAGCUCCAAUAGCGUAUAUUAAAGUUGUUGCAGUUAAAAAGCUCGUAGUUGGAUUUCUGUUAAUAAUUUAUAUAAAAUAUUUUGAUGAAUAUUUAUAUAAUAUUAACAUAAUUCAUAUUACUAUAUAUUUUAGUAUAUGAAACUUUACUUUGAGAAAAUUAGAGUGCUUAAAGCAGGCAUAUGCCUUGAAUACUCCAGCAUGGAAUAAUAUUAAAGAUUUUUAUCUUUCUUAUUGGUUCUAAGAUAAGAAUAAUGAUUAAUAGGGACAGUUGGGGGCAUUUGUAUUUAACAGUCAGAGGUGAAAUUCUUAGAUUUGUUAAAGACAAACUAAUGCGAAAGCAUUUGCCAAGGAUGUUUUCAUUAAUCAAGAACGAAAGUUAGGGGAUCGAAGACGAUCAGAUACCGUCGUAGUCUUAACCAUAAACUAUGCCAACUAGAGAUUGGAGGUUGUUCCUUACUCCUUC
This 499-nucleotide ribosomal RNA is filed under the name Cryptosporidium parvum. RNAcentral describes it as "SSU rRNA". It matches the Rfam family "Eukaryotic small subunit ribosomal RNA", at positions 551 to 1081 of the family's 1831-position model. Lineage: Eukaryota; Apicomplexa; Conoidasida; Eucoccidiorida; Cryptosporidiidae. The record is from RNAcentral.